Molecule: ribosomal RNA, 449 nt
Filed under: uncultured bacterium
Lineage: Bacteria
Description: partial 16S ribosomal RNA
Rfam family: Bacterial small subunit ribosomal RNA
Source: RNAcentral
CCAGACUCCUACGGGAGGCAGCAGUGGGGAAUAUUGCACAAUGGGGGGAACCCUGAUGCAGCGACGCCGCGUGGGCGAGGAAGUAUUUCGGUAUGUAAAGCCCUAUCGGCAGGGAAGAAGAAAUGACGGUACCUGAAUAAGAAGCACCGGCUAAAUACGUGCCAGCAGCCGCGGUAAUACGUAUGGUGCAAGCGUUAUCCGGAUUUACUGGGUGUAAAGGGGGCGCAGACGGCAGCGCAAGCCAGGAGUGAAAGCCCGGGGCCCAACCCCGGGACUGCUCUUGGAACUGCGCGGCUGGAGUGCAGGAGGGGCAGGCGGAAUUCCUGGUGUAGCGGUGAAAUGCGUAGAUAUCAGGAGGAACACCGGUGGCGAAGGCGGCCUGCUGGACUGCGACUGACGUUGAGGCCCGAAAGCGUGGGGAGCAAACAGGAUUAGAUACCCCCGUAGAC